This is a long non-coding RNA of Triticum dicoccoides, 408 nucleotides long. RefSeq lists it as uncharacterized. The transcript has 3 exons. Lineage: Eukaryota; Viridiplantae; Streptophyta; Magnoliopsida; Poales; Poaceae. The record is from RefSeq and is a predicted model, not a curated record.
UGGCACUUAAGGGCUUGCAGUUUGUGACUGCCAAAGUUGCCGCUGAUGGUGCGGCUGCUGUGGAGAAAUCAUUCAAUCACCUACACGUUGAUGGUGUCCUGCUCCGUUCCAGGUUUGGGAAAUGCAUUGGGAUGAGGGAUGGAAGGGCCCGACGAGUUUGCAGUGCAGAUGUUCGAUUCACUGGCAAGGAAGAGAGGGACAGUGAAGUGCUGACCAAGGCGGAGCUGAAAGAGCUCUGGGAGCAACUCAGUCACCAGGGUUUCGACAAUCGUCACCAAACAUGCAUCGACAUGGUUGACAAAAUGCUGACGGAAGAAUCACAUCCGAGGAUGUUAAGGAGGACAGUCACAAGAACCCAAACUGAAAAUAUAGUCUUAGUGUGUAAAUGUGAAGCAUAUAUUCCGCUAU